This 29-nucleotide non-coding RNA is filed under the name Mus musculus (house mouse). Lineage: Eukaryota; Metazoa; Chordata; Mammalia; Rodentia; Muridae. The record is from RNAcentral.
UACUCAAUAUCAAGGAGUAGGCGUGUUUA